AACGAACGCUGGCGGCAGGCUUAACACAUGCAAGUCGAACGCCCGUAGCAAUACGGGAGUGGCGGACGGGUGAGUAACGCGUGGGAACGUACCCUGAGGUACGGAAUAACCGAGGGAAACUUCGGCUAAUACCGUAUGAGCCCCGCAAGGGGGAAAGAUUUAUCGCCUUGGGAGCGGCCCGCGUCGGAUUAGCUAGUUGGUGGGGUAACGGCCUACCAAGGCUUCGAUCCGUAGCUGGUCUGAGAGGACGAUCAGCCACACUGGGACUGAGACACGGCCCAGACUCCUACGGGAGGCAGCAGUGGGGAAUCUUGCGCAAUGGGGGCAACCCUGACGCAGCCAUGCCGCGUGAACGAUGAAGGCCUUAGGGUUGUAAAGUUCUUUUACCCGUGACGAUGAUGACGGUAACGGGGGAGUAAGCUCCGGCUAACUUCGUG
Molecule: ribosomal RNA, 437 nt
Filed under: uncultured bacterium
Lineage: Bacteria
Description: bacterial SSU rRNA
Rfam family: Bacterial small subunit ribosomal RNA
Source: RNAcentral